This 269-nucleotide ribosomal RNA is filed under the name uncultured bacterium. RNAcentral describes it as "partial 16S ribosomal RNA". It matches the Rfam family "Bacterial small subunit ribosomal RNA", at positions 933 to 1215 of the family's 1533-position model. The record is from RNAcentral.
UGGAGCGUGUGGUUUAAUUCGAUGCUACGCGAAGAACCUUACCCAGGUUCGACAUACAGGUAGUAGGGAUUCGAAAGAUGACCGACCCUUCGGGGAGCCUGUACAGGUGCUGCAUGGCUGUCGUCAGCUCGUGCCGUGAGGUGUCCGGUUAAGUCCGGUAACGAGCGCAACCCCCAUUGUGUGUUAUAUGUGUCACACGAAACUGCCGGUAUCAAGCCGGAGGAAGGUGGGGAUGACGUCAAGUCAGCAUGGCCUUUAUAUCUUGGGCA